GAUGAACGCUAGCGGGAGGCUUAACACAUGCAAGUCGAGGGGCAGCAUAGGGUAGCAAUACUCUGAUGGCGACCGGCAGACGGGUGAGUAACGCGUAUGUAACCUACCCUGUACAGGGGGAUAACCCGGAGAAAUUCGGACUAAUAUCCCAUGGAAAUAUUGAGAGGCAUCUUUUGAUAUUUAAAGUUCCGGCGGUACGGGAUGGGCAUGCGUAACAUUAGCUAGUUGGUAAGGUAACGGCUUACCAAGGCUUUGAUGUUUAGGGGUCCUGAGAGGGUGAUCCCCCAACUGGUACUGAGACACGGACCAGACUCCUACGGGAGCAGCAGUGAGGAAUAUUGGUCAAUGGGCGCAAGCCUGAACCAGCCAAUCCCGCGUGCAGGAAGACGGCGCUAUGCGUUGUAAACUGCUUUUCCAGGGGAGAAACUUGCGUACGUGAUACGCAAUUGACGGUACCCUGGGAAUAAGCAUCGGCUAACUCCGUGCCAGCAGCCGCGGUAAG
Molecule: ribosomal RNA, 502 nt
Filed under: uncultured bacterium
Lineage: Bacteria
Description: bacterial SSU rRNA
Rfam family: Bacterial small subunit ribosomal RNA
Source: RNAcentral